This 558-nucleotide ribosomal RNA is filed under the name Acinetobacter baumannii. RNAcentral's name for it is "bacterial SSU rRNA". It matches the Rfam family "Bacterial small subunit ribosomal RNA", at positions 333 to 884 of the family's 1533-position model. Lineage: Bacteria; Pseudomonadati; Pseudomonadota; Gammaproteobacteria; Moraxellales; Moraxellaceae. The record is from RNAcentral.
UUGGCCUUUUGGGUUCCAGCGGGGGGGAAUUUUGCCCAACGGGGGCAACCUUGUCCCAGCCACCCCGAGUUUGUGAAAACAGCUUUCGGGUGGUAAAGAACUUUCCGUAGGGGGAAACUUUUCUAGGUCCAAAACAGUGAUAAUGGACGUUAAAUACAGAAGAAGGACCGGCUAACUCCGAGCCAGCCGCCGCGGUUAUACGGAGGGUGCGGGCGUUAAUCGGAAUUACUGGGCGUAAAGCGGGCGCAGGCGGCUUAUUAAGUUGGAUGUGAAAUCCCCGAGCUUAACCUGGGAACUGCAUUCGUAACUGGUGAACUAGAGUGUAGGAGAGGGGGGUAGAAUUCCAGGUGUAGCGGUGAAAUGCGUAGAGAUGUGGAGGAAUACCGGUGGAGAAGGCGGCCAUCUGGCCUAAUACUGACGCUCAUGCACGAAAGCAUGGGGAGCAAACAGGAUUAGAUACCCUGGUAGUCCAUGCCGUAAACGAUGUCUACUAGCCGUUAGGGCCUUGAGGCGUUAGUUCCGCAGCUAAAGCAAUAAGUAGACCGCCUGGGGAGUAAA